AUGAAAUAAACUAGGUUUUCAUAGCUGUUCUCUGAUGAUCUUGGUAUAGUAUUCGCCUGUGUCUUUCAAAAGUAAUCUCACAUUUCAAGAGACUAACGCUUCCUGUUUUUGCCAGUCAAGUUGAAGAAACGUCUCCACUACUUAAAGAGGGACCUGCAAACUAUUUCUAUUCAGCUGUCCCAAUGGGAUUUUCUCUUAGUAAAUCUGCUACUCAGGUAUCUGCUAUGCGUAUGGAUUCAAAAGUGGAUGAUCACUUAAUGCAAGGCACUGAGAAAAGCAAAUUGGAACCAGUGACUCAGUUAUUUCAAAACACCAAGAAAAUAAGAUUAGAAGACACAAACCAAGAAAACUUUACAAGGAGCAAAGAUACUGGCACAGGAUCUCUUUCGGAGAAAGCCUUGGGUUCAGUGGUGUAUGUUAAAGAAAGUGAUGGAAUAGAAAUGAUAGAUGUGGAAUGAAGUUAUUUGUGUAUGUUACCAAAGAAACCAAAAAUUGGUUUUGACUAAGAGGGCCUGUUGAAUGAGAACGUAACCUUAUUAUGAAAACCUAACAAAAUGAAGGAAGACGAUUGCUUAUUUUUCACUAUUUAUGAAUCACUGUAGAUUGCACUUUUUGAUGAUACAUAUUCAGAAAAGUUGCUUUAGAGAGAAGAAGCUUUCCAAAAUUCAAAGAAGAUUUCUCUGGUAUUACAUUCUGUCCUUGUCAAAAAAUCAGAGUUUUUGUGUAACAGUAUUUAAAUGGCACCAAAACAUUUUAAUUAUAAUGUAUUUCUCUAACAAGUGAUCAAAAACCCAAAAAACAGUGCCCAAAUAAUUUGACAUCAGUAUUUCAUAUGAUUUCUGGUGUACUGAUUUUGUAUGUUGAAAUUCCAGUUAGGGAUUUUGCUUUAGAAUACUUUAUCUUCUUGCAUUUUUUCAUGUCUGUUCUGUUAAAGAUCACUGGCAGCUAAACUCAAAGACCAGUAAAUUACGUACCUUGAGAAGCAUUUCACAUUUCAAAUCAUCCUUUUAAAACUUUUUUUUCACCCACGUGGAAUUCAUUGCAGAGUUCACAAAAUAGUUUUUCUAAGUGUAAUAAUUUAUCUUGCAGAUGUUACCAUUUUAUACCACCAAUAUUUAAUAUAAUAAAACAGCCUAGUUGUUAAAAAAAAUUCUUGUUUUGUAUAUAUCAGUUUGCCAUUCUUAUUAAAACAUCUAGUAGUUUGAAACAGCAGUAUUGUCCCAAGUAAUGUAAGCUGAAGUUAAAAACCAUUUGUGUCUGGACAAACAGUGACCU
Long non-coding RNA from Orcinus orca (killer whale), 1275 nucleotides. RefSeq annotates it as chromosome 13 C2orf15 homolog. The record is from RefSeq and is a predicted model, not a curated record. The transcript is spliced from 2 exons. NCBI's taxonomy places the organism in Eukaryota, Metazoa, Chordata, Mammalia, Artiodactyla, Delphinidae.